RNAcentral lists this ribosomal RNA (253 nucleotides) under uncultured bacterium. RNAcentral describes it as "partial 16S ribosomal RNA". It matches the Rfam family "Bacterial small subunit ribosomal RNA", at positions 524 to 776 of the family's 1533-position model. The record is from RNAcentral.
UACGAAGGGGGCGAGCGUUGUUCGGAAUUACUGGGCGUAAAGGGCGCGUAGGCGGCCGAUCAAGUCAGAUGUGAAAGUCCUGGGCUUAACCUGGGGACUGCAUUUGAUACUGAUUGGCUUGAAUUCGGGAGAGGAUAGCGGAAUUCCCAGUGUAGAGGUGAAAUUCGUAGAUAUCGGGAGGAACACCAGAGGCGAAGGCGGCCACCUGGACAGACACUGACACUGAGACGCGAAAGCGUGGGGAGCAAACAGG